CUGGCCUGUUGCCUGUUUGUUUGCGGUCAAGACCGACUCUGGAUGCUGGAUAAAUAGUGUUUAGUGCAGGUUUAUCAAGGCUAUAUUGUAUUAAGUCGUGUAUUACUGUCAUGAGCAUGUUAUGACCCGGAGACCCGAUUUUCUGGAGCUAAUUGUUGCUGCGUAGGUCAUGGCCGCCGGCGCCCCUCAGCUGUGUCGUCGAAAAUUGCAGGAUGGAGACCAAAAGUGUUACAGGGAAAGGUGUGGAUGUGCUGCUGCCUGUCCUGUGUAUCAUGGACAAGAGUGUGCCAAACGACAGGCAGCAGUGUGUUUUGAAGGCUUCCAAGGAAGCAAACGUAGCCAAGGCCCUACGCAUGGAUGCCACUGCCAGCAACCCCAAGAAAGCUUGUUAAGAAGCUGAAAAGAGGUGCCGUCCUUGUUGGAGCCACCGCACCAAUCAAAACUCAAAUCCUUGGCCAGCUGAUGCUCAGCUUUGGAAAGUAUUGCGGCAGGACAUUCAAGUGACUGGUGGAAAAUGAUGGUGGAUACAU
Sphaeramia orbicularis (orbiculate cardinalfish) is the source of this 530-nucleotide long non-coding RNA. RefSeq lists it as uncharacterized. The transcript is spliced from 3 exons. The record is from RefSeq and is a predicted model, not a curated record. Lineage: Eukaryota; Metazoa; Chordata; Actinopteri; Kurtiformes; Apogonidae.